GAACUGCUGUGAAGUGCUGUGUGGCCCCUUGCCCCCCAGUGUGCUGGAUCGAAGGGGUAUUUUGCCACUGGAGGAAAGUGGAAGUCGACCUCCCAGUACUCAAGAGACCAGUAGCAGCCUCUUGCCACAGAGCCCAGCCCCCACAGAACACCUGAACUCAAAUGAGAUGCCGGAGGACAGCAGCACUCCCGAAGAGAUGCCACCUCCAGAGCCCCCAGAGCCACCACAGGAGGCAGCUGAAGCUGAGAAGUAGCCUAUCUAUGGAAGAGACUUUUGUUUGUGUUUAAUUAGGGCUAUGAGAGAUUUCAGGUGAGAAGUUAAACCUGAGACAGAGAGCAAGUAAGCUGUCCCUUUUAACUGUUUUUCUUUGGUCUUUAGUCACCCAGUUGCACACUGGCAUUUUCUUGCUGCAAGCUUUUUUAAAUUUCUGAACUCAAGGCAGUGGCAGAAGAUGUCAGUCACCUCUGAUAACUGGAAAAAUGGGUCUCUUGGGCCCUGGCACUGGUUCUCCAUGGCCUCAGCCACAGGGUCCCCUUGGACCCCCUCUCUUCCCUCCAGAUCCCAGCCCUCCUGCUUGGGGUCACUGGUCUCAUUCUGGGGCUAAAAGUUUUUGAGACUGGCUCAAAUCCUCCCAAGCUGCUGCACGUGCUGAGUCCAGAGGCAGUCACAGAGACCUCUGGCCAGGGGAUCCUAACUGGGUUCUUGGGGUCUUCAGGACUGAAGAGGAGGGAGAGUGGGGUCAGAAGAUUCUCCUGGCCACCAAGUGCCAGCAUUGCCCACAAAUCCUUUUAGGAAUGGGACAGGUACCUUCCACUUGUUGUAUUUAUUAGUGUAGCUUCUCCUUUGUCUCCCAUCCACUCUGACACCUAAGCCCCACUCUUUUCCCAUUAGAUAUAUGUAAGUAGUUGUAGUAGAGAUAAUAAUUGACAUUUCUCGUAGACUACCCAGAAACUUUUUUAAUACCUGUGCCAUUCUCAAUAAGAAUUUAUGAGAUGCCAGCGGCAUAGCCCUUCACACUCUCUGUCUCAUCUCUCCUCCUUUCUCAUUAGCCCCUUUUAAUUUGUUUUUCCUUUUGACUCCUGCUCCCAUUAGGAGCAGGAAUGGCAGUAAUAAAAGUCUGCACUUUGGUCAUUUCUUUUCCUCAGAGGAAGCCUGAGUGCUCACUUAAACACUAUCCCCUCAGACUCCCUGUGUGAGGCCUGCAGAGGCCCUGAAUGCACAAAUGGGAAACCAAGGCACAGAGAGGCUCUCCUCUCCUCUCCUCUCCCCC
Molecule: long non-coding RNA, 1270 nt
Filed under: Homo sapiens (human)
Lineage: Eukaryota; Metazoa; Chordata; Mammalia; Primates; Hominidae
Description: HSALNT0286300
Source: RNAcentral